This 1036-nucleotide long non-coding RNA is filed under the name Helianthus annuus (common sunflower). RNAcentral describes it as "hypothetical non coding rna". Lineage: Eukaryota; Viridiplantae; Streptophyta; Magnoliopsida; Asterales; Asteraceae. The record is from RNAcentral.
GUUUGAUGUGGAUUUGUUAGUAGAUGCGGUUAUUUCCUACAUCCGAUGUUUUAGUUAGGAUUUACCUUUUUAAUUUUUUUUAUGUUUACUUGUUUGUUUAUAUGUCACAUGCAGAUUAGUAAGACAAAGGUGUUUCUAAGGGCCGGACAGAUGGCAGAGUUUGAUGGUUGUCGGACUAAGGUCCUAAGUUAUACGACCUAGAUGGCUUGGAUAAGCUGAGCCUGUGAGGGUAUGAUGCAUAAGCUGAGCCUAUGAGGCUAUGAUGCAUAAGCUGAGCCUGUCGACUCUAUGAUGCAUAAGCUGAGCUUGUGUUCUUAAUAUGUCUGAACUGAAACUGUUAAGGCUAUGAUGCAUAAGCUGAGCCUGCGGGGUUACAUAACACAAUAGACUGUGAUGAUGAUUGUAUUUUGAGGGUACAUAGAAGAUCCGAGUAGCAUCUUGGCGGGGCAAUAUCCAGGUUGCAUAGUUCUCACUUUGCAACCGUGUGUUGCAGCCAUGGCUUUACCUGUAGUUGUGUUCAUCUCUCAAUUACAUGUCUGAGUCUUCCAGUUGUAAAAGUAUUAUCACAGAUUCACAGAUCUAAAAGUACAUGUCUGAAAGACAGAUGUUGAUUUAUCUUUAAUCUUGAUGUGGAUUUUAGAUAGAUGCGGUUAUUUCAAAUUAUGUUGAAAGUUUUGUGAUAUUUGAAUUUGUAUUUUUGGUGAUGAUAGUUAGGUUAAUUUCAGAUAUGACAUAGUGAAAGGAUAAAUUGUUUUUGUAGUUUUGAUUUUACUUUAUUCUGUUAUAUUUUGAUCUUUUCCUUCAUUUUUGGGACUGAUAAGUGUCAUGGUUGUGUGAUAAUUAUGAUAUUUAGGUCAUUUAGAUAUGGAAUAGUGAAAAGAUAGAUUGUUAUGUAUUUUUGAUUUUAGUUUGUUCUGUGGGAUGCUCGAUGAGCAGAUCUAGGGUUUCAUGAGAUGUAUCACGAGCUUUAUCUGGCAAGGGAUCCACAGAUUUGAACAAGGGAUCCGUUUGAUGUGGAUUUGUUAGUAGAUGCGAU